AUAUUUGAUUUUAGCUUAUAUAUUAAAUUUUCCAAUAUGUUGAAUGCUGCUAAAAGAGCGUGUAGAAAAGUUACUGGUAGGAGUGGAAGUGGUAGUGAAAGUAGUAAAAAAAGUCCUACAGCAUAAAAAUUGACUUCUAACCAACUUCAUUAUAUUCAAGUAGAUAUAAAUUGGAUAUAUUUUCCAAAUAAAACUUGCCGUGCAAAAGUUAUUUAUUAACUUCCCGAGAUUGUACAAGUUUUGUGUUGGGCAAAUCUUGACAACCAGUAUGGCUUGCUUAGUAGAGCAAUAUCGUUCUUAAUUAAGUCAUUAGAAACUGAC
This 321-nucleotide long non-coding RNA is filed under the name Nicotiana benthamiana. RNAcentral describes it as "long non-coding RNA (NBEN_LNC025585)". Lineage: Eukaryota; Viridiplantae; Streptophyta; Magnoliopsida; Solanales; Solanaceae. The record is from RNAcentral.